This 254-nucleotide ribosomal RNA is filed under the name uncultured bacterium. RNAcentral's name for it is "partial 16S ribosomal RNA". It matches the Rfam family "Bacterial small subunit ribosomal RNA", at positions 524 to 776 of the family's 1533-position model. The record is from RNAcentral.
UACGUAGGGUGCGAGCGUUAAUCGGAAUUACUGGGCGUAAAGCGUGCGCAGGCGGUUUUGUAAGCCAGGUGUGAAAUCCCCGGGCUCAACCUGGGAAUGGCAUUUGGGACUGCAAGGCUGGAGUGCGGCAGAGGAGACUGGAAUUCCUGGUGUAGCAGUGAAAUGCGUAGAUAUCAGGAGGAACACCGGUGGCGAAGGCGGCAUCCUGGACCAAUACUGACACUGGAGGAGCGAAAGCCAGGGGAGCAAACGGG